Long non-coding RNA from Micropterus salmoides (largemouth bass), 4783 nucleotides. RefSeq lists it as uncharacterized. The record is from RefSeq and is a predicted model, not a curated record. The transcript is spliced from 3 exons. Lineage: Eukaryota; Metazoa; Chordata; Actinopteri; Centrarchiformes; Centrarchidae.
UUAUUGUGUGUCAUGUAAUGUGGGGAACUGGUCUUGGUCUUGACUUGGUCACAGUCCCUGAAAGUCUUGGUCUUGUCUCGGUCUAGAUAAACUCUGGUCUUGGUUUUGACUUUGUCUCGGUUUGGGCGCUCUUGACUACAACACUACUUGAAGACGUUUCGCCUCUCAUCCAGAAACUUCCUCAAUUCUGACUAACUGACAUCGAGUCCCAGUUAUUUAACCUCCGUGGGGUCGUUAUCAGUGUGAUGGAUACCGCUUGGUUCGUUAGUGUUUCCGGCUGUUGUAACUAUAGUCGGUACGGUCGUUGGCACUGUCACGUCGGCCAAAUGUAAGUGUUUGUUCACUCUUCCUGGGACAGCACUAUAGGUGGAGGGUAAGUGGUGCAAGGGGUGCUCACAUUACCAACGUGCGCCAGCUUGCAGUGGAAGCCUGCAAAACAAGCCUAGCAACGUUUGAGUAUCAAGUUGAGGUUGCGUUAGCUCAUUAGCUCAGUCUGUGGACUUGGAACUGGAGGUUCGCCGGUUUGAGUCCAGCACAGAUCACUGUCGAAGGUGCCCCUGAGCAAGUCCCUGAACCCCUAACUGUUCCCCGUGCGCUGCACAAUGGCAAGACACUGCUCCAAAUUAGGAUGGGAACAAAUUCUGCAUGCAUAGUACUGUGUCAAAAUUGCAUGCGGCCAAUAAAGUUGAUUAGACUGAGAACAAACUGAGAAACUCUGGAUGCUGCCGAUCACACGUCGACGGAGAAAACAGCCGGAUGGGCCGUGAGUAAAACCAGUUGACCGACAUUAGUUAACUAUUAUUUCCAAAGUUUCUUAAAUCAAAAUCCAUAAUCUAAAUUUCUCGAUCUCAAAAUUUUAACAGAAAGAAUAAUAUAAAUUCAAACCAUCUUGUUAAAGUUAUUAUGGCUCCAACACCAUUAUUUCCGCAGUUAUCCCUCUUCAGAAAAGAAGACACGCGUGAACUCAAGAAUCAAGAAGGAUUAGAUGGCAGGAAACUUUCACAGGUUGCUUUCAGAUCACACACAGUUGUCAUGUAAUUGGUUGCACAUUGAAAAGCGACCAGGUAAACGCAACGCUCAAGGUCAGCACAAAGUGGUUCUGCUGCUCACUGAAGGAACUUUAGAUGCAGCCAUGUUUGUUGCAGAUCAAACAUCAUCGCAGUUACCACUUGGCUUCGUAGAUAUGGCUUUCAGCUUUAAUGUUAUUUUUGUGACUUUGUGAGAAGUUGCUGGUUUAAUAAACUUGGCCUUUUCGUGGCCUUCAAAUCCAGAAGAAUCCCGGGACACGCAGGAGAGCUGGCAGGUGUGUGAGAUGUCUCAGCGCGAGAGACGUGGGCUCGGACUCGUGUUUGGACUCCUGCCCCAUUAUACAGAAUCGGGUUUCAAAUCUUCUCCAGCUGCUUCUCUAAACUCAGCAGCUGGAAGCUUUUUUUAAACGUGCUGCGAGUGACUGAGUUGAACUAAACACAUCAUUGAUGUAAGUUUCAUCAGUCUGAACAUCAGGACACCGGUGUAAGGAAGGAAGGUCUGAGGUUUUCCUCCAACAGCAGCGAUAUGCAUCUAUACGUCCUCCUCCUCCUCCUCCUCCUCUCCUCCUCCAGACGCCGGCCUCUGAGCUGAUCAAGUUUCAGUGUUUCUGCAGAACUCAAAAUGAAACCCGAGCUGAGGAAGCAGCAGGAGACUGAAGGUAGACACAACAUGUCGGACACAACCUCCGUCCAUCUGGAUUGAGAGCUCAAAAUAUAAACUAAAGCUUCUAUUUAUAACAUAGUGGAUAUAAAAAGGUAUUUAAAUGUGAGUCUGAACAAUGCCCUCAGUUUGACACGAGACCGACCCUCUGUGGGCCUCAGGACUGAUACGACGGUGGUGAAAGGAUAUACAACCCGGGGCCUCAUCUGAAGGCUUUCAAAUGCAGAAUUCCUAAUAAAAAGACUGUGAACUUGGAAGAAAUAAACUUUAUUUGUGUAACUCUGCUGAGGCCUCAUUUUACUGGUGCAGAAAUGUGAGGUCCUGAUGUGUCCCCGAGGUGAAUUAACUCCACUCAGACUGUUUGAAGAAAGAGACAGAGCAACAGACAAACUGGUGUCACCACAUCAGUUUUAUGGUAAUGACUUACCUGGAAAUCUUCCACAGAACCCGGCCUGGCAUCUUUCCACUGUUUUCUUUUCCUUAACAACGCACACUGCAAAAAAAAAAAAAAAAGAAAGCUCUCACAUUCAGAUGAGUGACUCUCCUGUGAAACAGAAACUCUGUGUCUCUUAUAAAAACUAUACGAUCUGUUUCUGUUGAUAUGAAACACCACAGAGAGCUGACAGCACAGUUAUCAUGAGCACUGUGCACUGUGCACACUGUAGUCUGAAAGUCCUCCAACAUUUACCUCAUGCUGUGUUUCUGCUGCCAACACGCAGAGUUGCUUCACCGACGAGUUUCAUGGCUUAUCAGACACCAAAAACACUCCACAGCUGUUCACACUUAGAGAAAGUUAUCACAGCGACUAUCAUUUAAUCCUCCGUCUCCACGACGGUGAAGCUCAUUCGUCUAUUUCCUGAUGCUUAUCCACAACCUGCAUAGUUGUGCAGACGCUGGACAGCUGUGCUUAUAACCUCGGUUGAGACUAAAUUACAAGCUAAUCUAUUAGGACUGAGCGCUCGCACGAAUUUGAUUGGUGAAUGCAGAGCGCUGCUGGAUCACGUUGCCACUCAUUCACCAGGUCACCCUGUGUUCUGACGCGACCACCUGCUGGUCUUAAUGCAGGUCUCUCUCAAAACCCUUUCUAUCAGAACCAGCAUCAACUUUUUCAGCGGUUGGACCUACAGUAGCUCGUUGGAUCGGACCACACGGGCCCACCUUCGCUCCCCACGGGCAUCAAUGAUCCUCGGCCGUCCACGACCCUGUCGGCGGUUCACCGCUUCUCCUUCCUUGGACCACUUGCAGAAGACGAGAGUUCAUCUGCAUUUAAUGUUUGUUUUUUUUUACAGGCAUUUUCCGGAGUGUAACCAUGAGCAUAUGUUCCCCGUGCAGACACUUCACGAAGAAAGAAUUUCUAAAGAGUUGGAAAUCUGUGGGUUUCAAGCUUCUUGCGUGGAGAUAGGUUUGACCAUUGAGCAACAUUCAACUAAUUUGCAGUGCGAUCCUGUGUUUUUCCAACACGUUCUCACUCGUCACACAUGGGCGCUUGGUCGAAACCGCUUGGCGUCAGUUUUUAACACCCUGGGUAUACAGCUCUGCGAUCAAGUUAGCAACAAUAAAAAUGCAACAUCCGGUUAGAUUUUCAAAAUAAAACUAGUGGUUGAUGUUGUGAAAUGUUGCAAUUUGGUUAGAUUUAAGCACCCAAACUAUUUGGUUAGUUUGAGGAAACCAUCAUGGUUUGGGUUAACGUUACUUGUGUUAACUUGUGUAACUUGUGCCACAAAUUAAAACAGUCAGUGUUGACUUUUUAUUUCACACGGGAAACAAACACCGGCCUCCUGGGUUAAAGUCCCGCUUCUGGCCCACCGUCCAUCCCAGCCAUCUCCUUACAUGGACUUUUCUGUUAAACACCUACCUUUACAUUUAUUCUUUUAGCUGACGCUUUUAUCUAAAGCGACUUACAGCAACUAAGGGUUAAGUGUCUUGCUCAGGGACACAAUGGCGGUGUCGCAGUGGGAAUUGAACCGUCCAAAGGUGACGUUACUGGGCUUCCCUACUAUGACGCUAAGGGGCUGUCCAGAAAACUGCCUGCAUCGGCUCUUGACCAUGCUGGGAGUGAGAACAGGUUGGCUUUCAACACAGUGGUCAGUACAUCAGGAGUAAAGUGUUAACGUCGGCCUGAACACAACCUCAGUGAGACGCUGAGCAGAAGUUUAAAAGGAUGACUUGGACAUUUCUUACAGUGCAGAGACGCACAGACAGCCCGGAGCACUUUUACAGUGCUGUUAAAGUGGCGUCACAGAUCAUCAGCUGAUCUCCGAGUACAAACACAGAGGUGGUUAAAGUGUCCCUCACCGUGGCGGCAGAGUGAGCUCCGGCUGAUAACCAUCUAAUCCACACUGAAUCACCAAACCGAGCGUUUAACGUCAGCUGUCAAACACCUGCUGUCGCGUCGCCGAUCGAGGCCUUUUCUGCUUUUUGUACAUUUUUAGUGCCGACGCAGUGCAGAUUUAGUCACAUUAUAUGAGGCCCAAAUGGAGCAGGAGUGAAUAUCUGAACACUUAACAGAAUACUCUUUCCAGUCCGAACUCGCGCCCCGUCAUGCAGGAGGAGACACGUUCAGCCGCCGCCGCAGGAAUUCUUCCCGUGUGCCAAAAGAAGCUCAUUAGCUUCCAGGUCAAUAAUUCUUCUUUAGCAUGAGAUCGUGUUUCUUUGAUGUGUGUUAAUUAAUGUCUUCUUUCAGCCAGUAAGUCGGAUUAAUCAAAGCCGUGCCGCCUCUGCUCUGUUCUGUAAGUGGAGAUAAAUAUCUGGUCGUGUUGGUAAGUGUGGGUUUGUUCAUCCUGUCACGGGUGUUGCUGUGAUGAGACGAGGUAACCAGGCGGUUUAAUCUCAGCCCUCGGGGUUUAUUCACAGUGUCAGAGUGUACGAGCUGUCAAUCGCUGCAUGUUUGCCUUUCAUUCCCCCUGGAGAUUUUACAGCUUUAUUAUCUAUUUAUAUCUUCUGUAACUGUUGACUGUGUCGCUGUGUUGAUUCUGUUUGUUGCUGUUGUUCAUGUGAAUGUUUCUGGUUUUAAAUGAGACCAGAACAAAGAAAACACCAAACCCCGAAUGUGCUUUCGGUAAAUAAAGCUAGACCCAGUUCGGCCCAAAACAAA